GACUACAGGGGUAUCUAAGCCCGUUUGCUACCCUAGCUUUCGCGUCUGAGUGUCAGUAUUGGUCUAGAAGACCGCUUUCGCCACUGGUGUUCCUCCAGAUAUCUGCGCAUUUUACCGCUACACCUGGAAUUCCAUCUUCCUCUACCAAACUCGAGUUCUGCAGUUUAGAACGGCCUCUCCCAGUUGAGCCAGGAGCUUUCACGCCCUACUUACAGUACCACCUACACGCGCUUUACGCCCAGUAAAUCCGGAUAACGUUUGCCUCCUACGUGUUACCGCGGCUGCUGGCACGUAGUUAGCCGAGACUUAUUCUGAGAGUACCGUCCUUCCUCAUCCUCUCAAAAAGUGCUUUACAACCCGAAGGCCUUCUUCGCACACGCGGUAUCGCUAGUUCAGAGUUUCCUCCAUUACUAAUAUUCCCUACUGCAGCCCCCCGUAGG
Molecule: ribosomal RNA, 440 nt
Filed under: uncultured Anaerolineaceae bacterium
Lineage: Bacteria; Bacillati; Chloroflexota; Anaerolineae; Anaerolineales; Anaerolineaceae
Description: partial 16S ribosomal RNA
Source: RNAcentral